This 441-nucleotide ribosomal RNA is filed under the name uncultured bacterium. RNAcentral describes it as "partial 16S ribosomal RNA". It matches the Rfam family "Bacterial small subunit ribosomal RNA", at positions 338 to 795 of the family's 1533-position model. The record is from RNAcentral.
CCUACGGGUGGCAGCAGUGGGGAAUAUUGCACAAUGGGGGAAACCCUGAUGCAGCAACGCCGCGUGAGUGAAGAAGUAUUUCGGUAUGUAAAACUCUGUCAGCAGGGAAGAAAAAAGACGGUACCUAACUAAGAAGCCCCGGCUAACUACGUGCCAGCAGCCGCGGUAAGACGUAGGUGGGAAGCGUUGUCCGGAUUUACUGGGUGUAAAGCGAGCGUAGACGGUAUGGUAAGUCUGAAGUGAAAGCCCCGGGCUUAACCGUGGGACUGCUUUGGAAACUGUUAGACUAGAGUGCUGGAGAGGUAAGUGGAAUUCCAAGUGUAGCGGUGAAAUGCGUAGAUAUAAGGAGGAACACCAGUGGCGAAGGCGGCUCACUGGACAGUAACUGACGUUGAGGCUCGAAAGCGUGGGGAGCAAACAGGAUUAGAUACCCCAGUAGUC